Molecule: ribosomal RNA, 695 nt
Filed under: uncultured Bacilli bacterium
Lineage: Bacteria; Bacillati; Bacillota; Bacilli
Description: bacterial SSU rRNA
Rfam family: Bacterial small subunit ribosomal RNA
Source: RNAcentral
UUGGUGCUUGCACCAAAUGAAACUAGAUACAAGCGAGCGGCGGACGGGUGAGUAACACGUGGGUAACCUGCCCAAGAGACUGGGAUAACACCUGGAAACAGAUGCUAAUACCGGAUAACAACACUAGACGCAUGUCUAGAGUUUAAAAGAUGGUUCUGCUAUCACUCUUGGAUGGACCUGCGGUGCAUUAGCUAGUUGGUAAGGUAACGGCUUACCAAGGCAAUGAUGCAUAGCCGAGUCGAGAGACUGAUCGGCCACAUUGGGACUGAGACACGGCCCAAACUCCUACGGGAGGCAGCAGUAGGGAAUCUUCCACAAUGGACGCAAGUCUGAUGGAGCAACGCCGCGUGAGUGAAGAAGGGUUUCGGCUCGUAAAGCUCUGUUGGUAGUGAAGAAAGAUAGAGGUAGUAACUGGCCUUUAUUUGACGGUAAUUACUUAGAAAGUCACGGCUAACUACGUGCCAGCAGCCGCGGUAAUACGUAGGUGGCAAGCGUUGUCCGGAUUUAUUGGGCGUAAAGCGAGUGCAGGCGGUUCAAUAAGUCUGAUGUGAAAGCCUUCGGCUCAACCGGAGAAUUGCAUCAGAAACUGUUGAACUUGAGUGCAGAAGAGGAGAGUGGAACUCCAUGUGUAGCGGUGGAAUGCGUAGAUAUAUGGAAGAACACCAGUGGCGAAGGCGGCUCUCUGGUCUGCAACU